This 437-nucleotide ribosomal RNA is filed under the name Corynebacterium sp. oral taxon E95. Its description in RNAcentral is "bacterial SSU rRNA". It matches the Rfam family "Bacterial small subunit ribosomal RNA", at positions 30 to 464 of the family's 1533-position model. The record is from RNAcentral. Lineage: Bacteria; Bacillati; Actinomycetota; Actinomycetes; Mycobacteriales; Corynebacteriaceae.
CGAAACCUGGCGCCGUGCUUAACACAUGCAAGUCGAACGGAAAGGGCCCACCUUGGUGGGGGUGCUCGAGUGGCGAACGGGUGAGUAACACGUGGGUGAUCUGCCCUGUACUUCGGGAUAAGCUUGGGAAACUGGGUCUAAUACCGGAUAGUACCAUGGUUUAGUGUCUCAUGGUGGAAAGAUUAUUGUUUUGGUGCAGGAUGAGCUCGCGGCCUAUCAGCUUGUUGGUGGGCUAAUGGCCUACCAAGGCGUCGACGGGUAGCCGGCCUGAGAGGGUGGACGGCCACAUUGGGACUGAGAUACGGCCCAGACCUCUACGGGAGGCAGCAGUGGGGAAUAUUGCACAAUGGGCGCAAGCCUGCUGCAGGACGCCGCGUGGGGGAUGACGGCUCCGGGUUGUAAACUCCUUUCGUUAGGACGAACCGCGCUUUUUUGGG